Molecule: ribosomal RNA, 430 nt
Filed under: uncultured bacterium
Lineage: Bacteria
Description: bacterial SSU rRNA
Rfam family: Bacterial small subunit ribosomal RNA
Source: RNAcentral
GGACCCGCACAAGUAGUGGAGCAUGUGGUUUAAUUCGAAGAUACGCGCAGAACCUUACCAACACUUGACAUGUUCGUCGCGACUCUAAGAGAUUAGAGUUUUCGGUUCGGCCGGACGAAACACAGGUGCUGCAUGGCUGUCGUCAGCUCGUGUCGUGAGAUGUUGGGUUAAGUCCCGCAACGAGCGCAACCCUCACUUUUAGUUGCCAUCAUUAAGUUGGGCACUCUGAAAGAACUGCCAGUGAUAAGCUGGAGGAAGGUGGGGAUGACGUCAAGUCCUCAUGGCCCUUACGUGUUGGGCUACACACGUGCUACAAUGGUAUCUACAACAGGAAGCAAGACUGCGAAGUUAAGCAAAUCCCUAAAACGUACCUCAGUUCGGAUUGUACUCUGUAACUCGAGUGCAUGAAGCUGGAAUUGCUAGUAAUCGC